RNAcentral lists this ribosomal RNA (567 nucleotides) under uncultured bacterium. RNAcentral describes it as "bacterial SSU rRNA". It matches the Rfam family "Bacterial small subunit ribosomal RNA", at positions 338 to 916 of the family's 1533-position model. The record is from RNAcentral.
CCUACGGGAGGCAGCAGUGGGGAAUAUUGCACAAUGGGCGAAAGCCUGAUGCAGCGACGCCGCGUGAGGGAUGACGGCCUUCGGGUUGUAAACCUCUUUCAGCAGGGAAGAAGCGAAAGUGACGGUACCUGCAGAAGAAGCACCGGCUAACUACGUGCCAGCAGCCGCGGUAAUACGUAGGGUGCGAGCGUUGUCCGGAAUUAUUGGGCGUAAAGAGCUUGUAGGCGGUUUGUCGCGUCUGCUGUGAAAAUCCGGGACUCAAUUCCGGACUUGCAGUGGGUACGGGCAGACUAGAGUACGGUAGGGGAGACUGGAAUUCCUGGUGUAGCGGUGAAAUGCGCAGAUAUCAGGAGGAACACCGAUGGCGAAGGCAGGUCUCUGGGCCGUAACUGACGCUGAGAAGCGAAAGCAUGGGGAGCGAACAGGAUUAGAUACCCUGGUAGUCCAUGCCGUAAACGUUGGGCGCUAGGUGUGGGGCUCAUUCCACGAGCUCUGUGCCGCAGCUAACGCAUUAAGCGCCCCGCCUGGGGAGUACGGCCGCAAGGCUAAAACUCAAUGAAUUGACGG